AACGAACGCUGGCGGCAUGCCUAACACAUGCAAGUCGAACGAGACCUUCGGGUCUAGUGGCGCACGGGUGCGUAACGCGUGGGAACCUGCCCUUAGGUUCGGAAUAACUCCCCGAAAGGGGUGCUAAUACCGGAUAAUGUCUUCGGACCAAAGAUUUUUCGCCUUUGGAUGGGCCCGCGUUGGAUUAGCUAGUUGGUAGGGUAAAAGCCUACCAAGGCGACGAUCCAUAGCUGGUCUGAGAGGAUGAUCAGCCACACUGGGACUGAGACACGGCCCAGACUCCUACGGGAGGCAGCAGUGGGGAAUAUUGGACAAUGGGCGAAAGUCUGAUCCAGCAAUGCCGCGUGAGUGAUGAAGGCCUUAGGGUUGUAAAGCUCUUUUACCCGGGAUGAUAAUGACAGUACCGGGAGAAUAAGCUCCGGCUAACUCCGUG
RNAcentral lists this ribosomal RNA (433 nucleotides) under uncultured bacterium. RNAcentral's name for it is "partial 16S ribosomal RNA". It matches the Rfam family "Bacterial small subunit ribosomal RNA", at positions 29 to 507 of the family's 1533-position model. The record is from RNAcentral.